This 468-nucleotide ribosomal RNA is filed under the name Actinomycetales bacterium 'ARUP UnID 385'. RNAcentral describes it as "bacterial SSU rRNA". It matches the Rfam family "Bacterial small subunit ribosomal RNA", at positions 27 to 506 of the family's 1533-position model. Lineage: Bacteria; Bacillati; Actinomycetota; Actinomycetes; Actinomycetales. The record is from RNAcentral.
GGACGAACGCUGGCGGCGUGCUUAACACAUGCAAGUCGAACGAUGAAGCCCGAGCUUGCUGUGGGGGAUUAGUGGCGAACGGGUGAGUAACACGUGAGCAACCUGCCCUUGACUCUGGGAUAAGCGCCGGAAACGGAAUCUAAUACCGGAUAUGACGUGCGGCCGCAUGGCCUGUAGCUGGAAAGAUUUUCGGUCUGGGAUGGGCUCGCGGCCUAUCAGCUUGUUGGUGAGGUAAUGGCUCACCAAGCCUACGACGGGUAGCCGGCCUGAGAGGGUGACCGGCCACACUGGGACUGAGACACGGCCCAGACUCCUACGGGAGGCAGCAGUGGGGAAUAUUGCACAAUGGGCGCAAGCCUGAUGCAGCAACGCCGCGUGAGGGAUGACGGCCUUCGGGUUGUAAACCUCUUUUAGCAAGGAAGAAGCGAAAGUGACGGUACCUGCAGAAAAAGCACCGGCUAACUACGU